Molecule: ribosomal RNA, 492 nt
Filed under: uncultured bacterium
Lineage: Bacteria
Description: partial 16S ribosomal RNA
Rfam family: Bacterial small subunit ribosomal RNA
Source: RNAcentral
AGUGAACGCUGGCGGUAGGCCUAACACAUGCAGGUCGAACGGCAGCACAGUAAGAGCUUGCCCUUACGGGUGGCGAGUGGCGGACGGGUGAGGAAUACAUCGGAAUCUACUUUUUCGUGGGGGAUAACGUAGGGAAACUUACGCUAAUACCGCAUACGACCUACGGGUGAAAGCAGGGGAUCUUCGGACCUUGCGCGAUUGAAUGAGCCGAUGUCGGAUUAGCUAGUUGGCGGGGUAAAGGCCCACCAAGGCGACGAUCCGUAGCUGGUCUGAGAGGAUGAUCAGCCACACUGGAACUGAGACACGGUCCAGACUCCUACGGGAGGCAGCAGUGGGGAAUAUUGGACAAUGGGCGCAAGCCUGAUCCAGCCAUACCGCGUGGGUGAAGAAGGCCUUCGGGUUGUAAAGCCCUUUUGUUGGGAAAGAAAAGCAGCAGGUUAAUACCCCGCUGUUCUGACGGUACCCAAAGAAUAAGCACCGGCUAACUUCGUG